AGGUCAUGAACCUAGACAACAUUUAAAGAUCAUGAACCUGACACAACCUAACUAACUGAAAGUUUGAGAGGUACAGAUUUAUUUAUCUUUUUCUUUUAAUACAGUCUUCGCUGCGGACGAAAACAGUUUUCAGGCCAGAGAGCCCCAGUGUGACAACUACGAUGCAACAAUGUGCUCCAAGGCGUUAGAUCCUGUGUGUGGGAGUGAUGGACUCACCUACAACACCAAGUGUAUCCUCUGUCAAAACAACAUGGUCAAGAACCUGCACGUCAUGGUGGUGCACAUUGGGAAGUGUAAGGUCUAGCCAUCCAACCAGUCUGCCUGACAGGAAACUUAUCUGAGAGGAUGGUCUCCAGACUGACCACCCAAGGAUCACAGCCAUGGUUGGCUAUUAUACAUGUAGUACAAAACUGUAAUAAAGAUAUACAGCUUCC
Osmerus eperlanus (European smelt) is the source of this 434-nucleotide long non-coding RNA. RefSeq lists it as uncharacterized. The transcript has 3 exons. The record is from RefSeq and is a predicted model, not a curated record. NCBI's taxonomy places the organism in Eukaryota, Metazoa, Chordata, Actinopteri, Osmeriformes, Osmeridae.